UGUAGGCGGUGCGGUAAGUUGGGCGUGAAAUCCCCGAGCUUAACUCGGGUGGGCCGUUCAAGACUGCCGUGCUAGGGUGCGGGAGAGGGAAGUGGAAUUUCCGGUGUAGCGGUGAAAUGCGUAGAUAUCGGGAGGAACACCUGCGGCGAAGGCGGCUUCCUGGACCGUAACCGACGCUGAGGCGCGAAAGCUAGGGGAGCAAACAGGAUUAGAUACCCUGGUAGUCCUAGCCCUAAACGAUGAGCACUGGGUGUGGCCCCUCACGAGGCCGUGCCGAAGCUAACGCAUUAAGUGCUCCGCCUGGGGAGUACGGUCGCAAGGCUGAA
RNAcentral lists this ribosomal RNA (326 nucleotides) under uncultured bacterium. RNAcentral describes it as "bacterial SSU rRNA". It matches the Rfam family "Bacterial small subunit ribosomal RNA", at positions 570 to 898 of the family's 1533-position model. The record is from RNAcentral.